GUCUUUUGGUUGGAGCAUUGAGUCCAUUUACAUUUAAGACAAUUAUUGACAUGUAUGUACUUAUUGCCAUUUUGUUAAUUGACACGGUUGGGUUUGGGGUCUGGGGUGCCCUGAAGGUUGCAUUGGCCUGCUGGUCCUGCUGGGCAGGACCAGGGCUCAGCUGGCCCCAGGGUAGGGAUUGUCCUGCUCUUGGUGGACUUGGUGUGCAGGCUGCAGGAUCAGUUUUCUUCCUUUUAGUGUCUGUCCCCUGGCGGGUGAGGUUAACGGAGACUUCCUGGUAGGAAGGGUCAGUACCUGCCCACUGGGUGGGGCUGGAACUUGGCCCUCUGGAGGGCAGAGCUGUAUUUAUGGGCAUGUCUAGAAGUGGCUAUGGGUUCAAGAAGUCUUUAGGCAGCUGUCUGCUGAUGGGUGGGGCUGUGACCCACCAAGUUAGUUAUUUGACCUGAGGCAUCUCAGCACUGGUACCUACAGGCUGUUGGGUGGGGCCAGAUCUUGGCACUAAUAAGCCACAAUGGCAGCCACCAGCAGAAGUGUUAAUUCAGUUGAAUGUUUCCAAAUAGGUCUGUCACUACUGUCUAUGUCCCCAGAGGGAGCCACAGCCACUCCCCAGUCUCCAGGUGGCUCACCAAGACCAGCAGUAACUGCAAGAAAUGGCCAUCUGGACAAAUGCCCAAAAGGACUCUUCUCUAAAGUUUCUCCCUGUUUUAAGACUCAAGGCCGUGCCUUAAGGAGGCUCAACACCACUAUCCGGCCACUAUUUAAGUGACCUGCUAAUCAGAUGGCAUUCUGAAGAGUGCUACAAUUUGCAGUUGGCAGCUUUGGCAACCAGGAGGGGACACAGAGCAGACUUCUCUUCUUCUCUUCCUCACCUGAACGUUACAAGGAUGUGGAGCCUUGAUGCGAGCAAGGCCCCUUGUGCUCAUUCACUUCUUCAGCAAGUCUGACAAAUUUGGAUCUUCAAGAAGAUUCAUAAAAAGGACUUUUUGACAAAUAUGUUUCAGAUGAUUCCACUGAACUGGGUGAGAUUAUGAAACUCUAAUGGAAAACCUGAUGGCUUAAUAAAACUACUAACAAAAAAGUCAAAGUCAACAAGAAUUAAUUACAUGGGACUGAAUGAAUUGGUAAAUAUGACUUACAAUGUUAUGGCUGUUUGCCUGAAAUAUUACUGGCUUUCAAUCUUUGUUUCCAAGAUAUGAGGAAACCUUUUCUCUCAUGCCAACUAUGAUUUGCACAAGUUGAUAAAGUAUACCUUUGUAAACAAAGAUGAAACAUUUAUCUUUUGCUCUCUACCUGAUCCCUUCCCUCUGGACGUGGUGGCUUACUGUGAUCUGCAUUACAACCAGUCAUACUAAUCAUUGUCAUCAUUUGUUCUCUCUUUGUUGUUUUCAAACUAUUUAUGCUUUAUCUCCCUCAUUGAUGAACUAUGACCUUAAAAAUACUACUACCUAUAUUAUUUAUAUCCUGACUAUUUUAUAAGAUUGUUGUUUCUUGCAUUACCCUCUGUGCAGCCAGUUCAAUAACAAAGUGAAUGAUGGCUAAACCUCUUGGGGCAAUCAAUCACAUAUAUAGCUCUAUAUUAAAUUCACUGGAAUGAUGCGACUCUAGAUGUGGGUGGAAGCAAUAAGGGAAAAAGAUUUCUUGGAUCAUUAUAAACUACGUAGUAAGACAUACGACCCAGAGAAUUUUUUGGUUAUUAACAGAGCCUAAUUCAGAUACAGCACAGGAAUGACCUACCAGUGAAAUCCUCUCCUUAAGGAGGAAUGAGCCUUCCUAUAACCAUGAGACAAAUUAGUCAUCAAGUGCCUCCAAAACUUUGGUUAAAUUUAUGACCAAAAAGCAGGAAGCUGUAAACAAAAAGAACAGUCUCCUUCAUUAUCCCAUUAUAGAAAGGGUUAAAGUGCAACCCCCUGCAGUCACCCACUGACAGUGCCCCUGAGGGGAAUUCAGGAUAAAGAAAACCAGGAUAAAAUAUUCUGGGUUUGGAUAUAAAGGCCCCUUAGAAACUCAGGAUCGAUAUCUUAGAAUCUCAUUGACCCCAGAUUCAUGUUUUAGAAAAGCACCAAAAUCAUUAAAUCAGGUAUUUGUUUCCUGAUGAUUAGCAGUAAUCUUUCACCAAAAUACAUGCUUAACUAUAUGUAUUUGCCUGUCAAAAAAUUCAGAAUCCACUGUCUCCUUCCCUGCUUCUUCAGAGCAUUCCUCAGAGCUAUUUAAAAGGCUGUCUCCAAGGCUGUAUUUCUCAGUGAAGUCCCCAAAUAAAAC
Molecule: long non-coding RNA, 2259 nt
Organism: Camelus dromedarius (Arabian camel)
Lineage: Eukaryota; Metazoa; Chordata; Mammalia; Artiodactyla; Camelidae
Exons: 4
Source: RefSeq, a predicted model, not a curated record